AGUGAACGCUGGCGGUGUGCUUAACACAUGCAAGUCGAACGAGAACGGGUUAUAGCUUGCUAUAAUUGUCAGCUAAGUGGCGCACGGGUGAGUAAUGUAUAGGUAAUAUGCCUCUUACUAAGGGAUAACAAAUGGAAACGUUUGCUAAUGCCUUAUACUCCUUAUUAACAUAAGUUAAUAAGGGAAAGAUUUAUUGGUAAGAGAUUAGCCUGUAUUGUAUCAGUUAGUUGGUGGGGUAAUGGCUUACCAAGACUAUGACACAUAACUGGUUUGAGAGGAUGAUCAGUCACACUUGAACUGAGACACAGUCCAGACUCCUCCGGGAGGCAGCAGUGGUGAAUAUUGCACAAUGGACGAAAGUCUGAUGCAGCAACGCCGCGUGGAGGAUGACACAUUUCGGUGCGUAAACUCCUUUUAUAUGAGAAGAUAAUGACGGUAUUAUAUGAAUAAGCACCGGCUGACUCCGUGCCAGCAGCCGCAGUAA
Molecule: ribosomal RNA, 484 nt
Filed under: uncultured bacterium
Lineage: Bacteria
Description: partial 16S ribosomal RNA
Rfam family: Bacterial small subunit ribosomal RNA
Source: RNAcentral